This 74-nucleotide transfer RNA is filed under the name Phycisphaerae bacterium. RNAcentral describes it as "tRNA-Asp". It matches the Rfam family "tRNA". From Rfam's summary of the family: Transfer RNA (tRNA) molecules are approximately 80 nucleotides in length. Their secondary structure includes four short double-helical elements and three loops (D, anti-codon, and T loops). The record is from RNAcentral. RNAcentral also lists the same sequence under 1 other name. Lineage: Bacteria; Pseudomonadati; Planctomycetota; Phycisphaerae.
GGGGUCGUAGCUCAAUUGGUCAGAGCGCCGCCCUGUCACGGCGGAGGCUGCGGGUUCGAGUCCCGUCGACCUCG